RNAcentral lists this ribosomal RNA (465 nucleotides) under uncultured Weissella sp. RNAcentral's name for it is "bacterial SSU rRNA". It matches the Rfam family "Bacterial small subunit ribosomal RNA", at positions 338 to 795 of the family's 1533-position model. The record is from RNAcentral. Lineage: Bacteria; Bacillati; Bacillota; Bacilli; Lactobacillales; Lactobacillaceae.
CCUACGGGAGGCUGCAGUAGGGAAUCUCCCACAAUGGACGAAAGUCUGAUGGAGCAACGCCGCGUGUGUGAUGAAGGGUUUCGGCUCGUAAAACACUGUUGUAAGAGAAGAAUGACAUUGAGAGUAACUGUUCAGUGUGUGACGGUAUCUUACCAGAAAGGAACGGCUAAAUACGUGCCAGCAGCCGCGGUAAUAAGUAUGUUCCAAGCGCUAUCCGGAGUUAUUUGGCGUAAAGCGAGCGCAGACGGUUGUAUGAGUGCUGAGGGAAAGGGCACUGGUUUACUGUGGGAGUGCUUUGGAAACUGGAUAACUUGAGUGCAGUAGAGGAGAGUGGAACUCCAUGUGUAGCGGUGAAAUGCGUAGAUAUAUGGAGGAACACCAGUGGCGAAAGCGGCUCUCUGGACUGUAACUGACGUUGAGGCUCGAAAGCGUGGGGAGCAAACAGGAUUAGAUACCCCUGUAGUC